GACGAACGCUGGCGGCGUGCUUAACACAUGCAAGUCGAACGGAAAGGCCCUGCUUUUGUGGGGUGCUCGAGUGGCGAACGGGUGAGUAACACGUGAGUAACCUGCCCUUGACUUUGGGAUAACUUCAGGAAACUGGGGCUAAUACCGGAUAGGAGCUCCUGCUGCAUGGUGGGGGUUGGAAAGUUUCGGCGGUUGGGGAUGGACUCGCGGCUUAUCAGCUUGUUGGUGGGGUAGUGGCUUACCAAGGCUUUGACGGGUAGCCGGCCUGGGAGGGUGACCGGCCACAUUGGGACUGAGAUACGGCCCAGACUCCUACGGGAGGCAGCAGUGGGGAAUAUUGCACAAUGGGCGGACGCCUGAUGCAGCAACGCCGCGUGUGGGAUGACGGCCUGCGGGUUGUAAACCGCUUUCGCCUGUGACGAAGCGUGAGUGACGGUAAUGGGUAAAGAAGCACCGGCUAACUACGUG
This 468-nucleotide ribosomal RNA is filed under the name uncultured bacterium. RNAcentral's name for it is "partial 16S ribosomal RNA". It matches the Rfam family "Bacterial small subunit ribosomal RNA", at positions 28 to 507 of the family's 1533-position model. The record is from RNAcentral.